GACGAACGCUGGCGGCGUGCUUAACACAUGCAAGUCGAACGGAAAGGCCCUGCUUUUGUGGGGUGCUCGAGUGGCGAACGGGUGAGUAACACGUGAGUAACCUGCCCUUGACUUUGGGAUAACUUCAGGAAACUGGGGCUAAUACCGGAUAGGAGCUCCUGCUGCAUGGUGGGGGUUGGAAAGUUUCGGCGGUUGGGGAUGGACUCGCGGCUUAUCAGCUUGUUGGUGGGGUAGUGGCUUACCAAGGCUUUGACGGGUAGCCGGCCUGAGAGGGUGACCGGCCACAUUGGGACUGAGAUACGGCCCAGACUCCUACGGGAGGCAGCAGUGGGGAAUAUUGCACAAUGGGCGGAAGCCUGAUGCAGCAACGCCGCGUGCGGGAUGACGGCCUUCGGGUUGUAAACCGCUUUCGCCUGUGACGAAGCGUGAGUGACGGUAAUGGGGAAAGAAGACCGGCUAACUACGUG
This 467-nucleotide ribosomal RNA is filed under the name uncultured bacterium. RNAcentral describes it as "partial 16S ribosomal RNA". It matches the Rfam family "Bacterial small subunit ribosomal RNA", at positions 28 to 507 of the family's 1533-position model. The record is from RNAcentral.